GGUCUCAGUUCAGAUUGCAGGCUGCAACCCGCCUGCAUGAAGUCGGAAUUGCUAGUAAUCGCGGAUCAGCAUGCCGCGGUGAAUACGUUCCCGGGCCUUGUACACACCGCCCGUCACACCAUGGGAGCCGGUAAUACCCGAAGUCAGUAGUCCAACCUCGUGAGGACGCUGCCGAAGGUAGGAUUGGCGACUGGGGUGAAGUCGUAACAAGGUAGC
Molecule: ribosomal RNA, 216 nt
Filed under: uncultured bacterium
Lineage: Bacteria
Description: partial 16S ribosomal RNA
Rfam family: Bacterial small subunit ribosomal RNA
Source: RNAcentral